RNAcentral lists this ribosomal RNA (397 nucleotides) under uncultured bacterium. RNAcentral's name for it is "partial 16S ribosomal RNA". It matches the Rfam family "Bacterial small subunit ribosomal RNA", at positions 523 to 918 of the family's 1533-position model. The record is from RNAcentral.
AUACGUAGGGGGCGAGCGUUGUCCGGAAUGAUUGGGCGUAAAGGGCGCGUAGGCGGCCCGGUAAGUCUGGAGUGAAAGUCCUGUUUUUAAGAUGGGAAUUGCUUUGGAUACUGUCGGGCUUGAGUGCAGGAGAGGUAAGUGGAAUUCCCAGUGUAGCGGUGAACUGCGUAGAGAUUGGGAGGAACACCAGUGGCGAAGGCGACUUACUGGACUGUAACUGACGCUGAGGCGCGAAAGUGUGGGGAGCAAACAGGAUUAGAUACCCUGGUAGUCCACACUGUAAACGAUGAAUGCUAGGUGUAGGGGGUAUCGACCCCUUCUGUGCCGCAGUCAACACAAUAAGCAUUCCGCCUGGGGAGUACGGCCGCAAGGUUGAAACUCAAAUGAAUUGACGGGG